This 429-nucleotide ribosomal RNA is filed under the name bacterium. RNAcentral describes it as "partial 16S ribosomal RNA". It matches the Rfam family "Bacterial small subunit ribosomal RNA", at positions 355 to 776 of the family's 1533-position model. The record is from RNAcentral.
UAGGGAAUCUUCCACAAUGGACGCAAGUCUGAUGGCGCAACGCCGCGUGAGUGAAGAAGGUUUUCGGAUCGUAAAGCUCUGUUGUUGGUGAAGAAGGAUAGAGGCAGUAACUGGUCUUUAUUUGACGGUAAUCAACCAGAAAGUCACGGCUAACUACGUGCCAGCAGCCGCGGUAAUACGUAGGUGGCAAGCGUUGUCCGGAUUUAAUGGGCGUAAAGCGAGCGCAGGCGGAAUGAUAAGUCUGAUGUGAAAGCCCACGGCUCAACCGUGGAACUGCAUCGGAAACUGACAUUCUUGAGUGCAGAAGAGGAGAGUGGAAUUCCAUGUGUAGCGGUGGAAUGCGUAGAUAUAUGGAAGAACACCAGUGGCGAAGGCGGCUCUCUGGUCUGCAACUGACGCUGAGGCUCGAAAGCAUGGGUAGCGAACAGG